Molecule: long non-coding RNA, 534 nt
Organism: Anguilla rostrata (American eel)
Lineage: Eukaryota; Metazoa; Chordata; Actinopteri; Anguilliformes; Anguillidae
Exons: 5
Source: RefSeq, a predicted model, not a curated record
UCUGAAAUGUAUAACUAAUCAUUUAUCACCUUUUAUGUGUAUUGCCGUUCCAGAGCCCUCUGUUAGUCGCACACCGAGGACGUAAACAGUGCGUUCUGCGAUUGAUUUCACGGAAACCACCGAGGGACAAACUGUGCGAAAACAAUCCUGUUCGGAACUCAAGCAAUGGAGAGGUGGAAGAGUCAUGUUCGUGCGGAGCUUUUCCAGAGAGACUGUCAGCAAAAAGAACCCUUCAGUGGCCUCAUUAAGUCAUAUUCCCGGUUGUUGGAGAAAUGCGAAUUACACGAGUGCUUUUGGGACGAAAAGCAGGGAUCCAGGUUUGUGGAAUCUCCAGAAACGCUGCAGCUGCAGCUUCUGUUAAAGGAGGGAGAACAGGUUAGAGAGAAGCUCGCCCAGAGGGUCACGGACCUGAUGAGCUCCCUGUAUCUGAAAGAGGCGGAGCUGCAGUACUGUCACUCACAGUGAGUAAAUAGCCAAUCACGGCUGGGGAGCGAUUGAUUGACUGAUGAACCUCGCUCCCUGCAGGAGCACUGA